CAGGUUCAAAGCUUGACCCUGGUUUUGCUUUUUAAGUGCUGAUGAUUUUUACAGUUUCCUCCUAUUCUUGUCUAUGCAGAUUAGAAAACUGAUUAUAUAAAAUACAGGAUCAAGUGAGAGGGAGGAGAAUGGAGAAAUAAAUACUCUAUUCAGAGUGUUUCUGGCUUUACUCAUUUGCUGCUUUGAAAACGUGUAUGUGAACAGUCUAGAGAUAGUCAUGGCAAAUCCAUAGGAGAUCAAUAAAGGUACAAAUUAAAUGCUUCUGGUUGUGCUUGACUAACUUGGAAACACAAAACCAACUCCCAAUCAUUAAUUCCUUGUCUAACUGUUUACAGCUUUUCUACUGAGAGCAAGGAGUUACUGGUAGAACACCAGAAACAACUGGAGGAGUCCCCAGGUUUGGAGCAGUCCCUUAGGGCUCAGGAUAACAUUUUCUUACCUCUGGAACCUACAAAUUCAGCUGGAAUGGAACCUAUAGCCACACUCAUUACAGUAGAAGACAAAAAGGGUGCAUUUCUGGAACCUGUGCUGGAGGAAAAGGCACUUCUUUCAAACCCAAACACUGAUCCUAAAGAUAAUGAAGAUAUUAAUCCAUAUGGCAGCAAGUACCCAGUGAAAGGCCUGGGGAUCCUUCCUACUUGGUGUAACUUAUGCCUGGUUCAGGCAGAAAAUACUCUUGAAGGAACAGGUCAAUCAUAUUUAAUGCUAUUAUGUCCAAUCUGUUUCAACCACUUCAAUCAAACUUUAAUCCAGACAGAAAGAGAGACAAUCUUCUCAUUUAUUACCAAAGUGUCU
RNAcentral lists this long non-coding RNA (795 nucleotides) under Corvus moneduloides (New Caledonian crow). RNAcentral's name for it is "lncRNA (ENSCMUG00000017107.1)". Lineage: Eukaryota; Metazoa; Chordata; Aves; Passeriformes; Corvidae. The record is from RNAcentral.